This 86-nucleotide small nucleolar RNA is filed under the name Pochonia chlamydosporia 170. Lineage: Eukaryota; Fungi; Ascomycota; Sordariomycetes; Hypocreales; Clavicipitaceae. The record is from RNAcentral.
UUAUCAUGAUGAGACACUUUUUCAUCCAGUUCUGCUACUGAAUCGAAGUGAUGACUCCCAAAUUACCAUACCAAGAUCUCUGAUAU